AGGUGAACCUGCGGAUCGGAUGUCGAUCAGCGGAGGAAGAUUCCGUACUCUGAAAUGAAGAGUCGUCUGAGUACUAUAUGAUAAUUAAUACUUUCAACAACGGAUCUCUUGGUUCUGGCAUCGAUGAAGAACGCAGCGAAAUGCGAUAAGUAAUGUGAAUUGCAGAAUUCAGUGAAUCAUCGAAUCUUUGAACGCACAUUGCGCCCCUUGGUAUUCCGGGGGGCAUGCCUGUUCGAGCGUCAUUACAACCCUCAAGCUCUGCUUGGUAUUGGGCGUCCCCGGCGACGGGGUGCCCUAAAAUCAGUGGCGGUGCCGUCUGGCUCUAAGCGUAGUAAAUCUCUCGCUCUGGAUGCCCGGUGGAUGCUCGCCAGAACCCCCCAUUUUUACAGGUUGACCUCGGAUCAGGUAGGGAUACCCGCUGAACUUAAGCAUAUCAUAGCCCGGAGGAAGAUUCCGCACGUGCUGAUGUGCAUAUCCGUAUGUUCAACCACAGAAUCAUC
This 500-nucleotide ribosomal RNA is filed under the name Phlyctema vagabunda. Its description in RNAcentral is "eukaryotic LSU rRNA". The stretch from base 89 to 242 matches the Rfam family "5.8S ribosomal RNA". The record is from RNAcentral. Lineage: Eukaryota; Fungi; Ascomycota; Leotiomycetes; Helotiales; Dermateaceae.